GAGAGACGUACACACACAGACACACACACACACGCAUCCCACAGCCAGGGAAGAGGCAGAGAGCAGGCAAGGCAGAGAGGGAGCGAGGGUAGAGAGAGAGAGAUCCCCAAAGCAGCCCUGCGCCUCUGAGCUGGAAUCUGCCAGGGUGCAGCCAACAUGUUGGUCCUCAGCUCACUUGUCUGGGGAUCUUACCUGCAGCUUUUCUUCUGCUUUGCUUUAUCUCAGACUGCGUACGUUGACAAUAUCUUCUCAGUUUCAGCAGGCAGCAACCAGUCCAAAAGGGAACCUCAGCUGAAAGCGAUGCUGCAGCUGGCA
RNAcentral lists this long non-coding RNA (315 nucleotides) under Athene cunicularia (burrowing owl). Its description in RNAcentral is "lncRNA (ENSACUG00000007895.1)". The record is from RNAcentral. Lineage: Eukaryota; Metazoa; Chordata; Aves; Strigiformes; Strigidae.